RNAcentral lists this ribosomal RNA (305 nucleotides) under uncultured bacterium. RNAcentral describes it as "bacterial SSU rRNA". It matches the Rfam family "Bacterial small subunit ribosomal RNA", at positions 337 to 658 of the family's 1533-position model. The record is from RNAcentral.
UCCUACGGGGCGCAGCAGUGGGGAAUAUUGCGCAAUGGGGGAAACCCUGACGCAGCAACGCCGCGUGAGUGAAGAAGGCCUUCGGGUUGUAAAGCUCUUUAAUCAGGGACGAAGAAUGACGGUACCUGAAGAAUAAGCUCCGGCUAACUACGUGCCAGCAGCCGCGGUAAUACGUAUGGAGCAAGCGUUAUCCGGAUUUACUGGGCGUAAAGGGAGCGUAGGCGGCCUGCCAAGUCUGAUGUGAAAUACCGGGGCUCAACCCCGGGGCUGCAUUGGAAACUGGCAGGCUGGAGUGCCGGAGAGGC